UGAGGGUAGGUGGGGUUACCCUACUUGAAGGUGGAAUAAAUGGGAAAACUACAUUUGGGCCUUGAAUAGCUGAGAUCAUAGCUGUAGCAAAAAAUUUUCCCAAGUUGGUUUCUUUUCAAAGAAUCAGAAAGACUAUUAAAUGAAUCCAAUUUUAACACCUGCAAAUUUAUUCUUCAGUGUAUUUCAAGCUCAUAUGGCUCUCUAGUAUCAAUAUUGCUAGUAGUAGCCUAAGUGUGAAUGUGUUUUUCUGGCAAGGAGCAGAUUUUCAUUUUAAUUGACACUUUCUCUUAUAUACUAAAUCUUGGAUGC
Molecule: long non-coding RNA, 309 nt
Filed under: Bos taurus (domestic cattle)
Lineage: Eukaryota; Metazoa; Chordata; Mammalia; Artiodactyla; Bovidae
Description: long non-coding RNA NONBTAT018223
Source: RNAcentral